UGGCGGAAUGCUUUACACAUGCAAGUCGAACGGUAGAGGGGGCAACCCUUGAGAGUGGCGAACGGGUGAGUAAUAUAUCGGAACGUGCCCAGUCGUGGGGAUAACGUAGCGAAAGUUACGCUAAUACCGCAUACGAUCUAAGGAUGAAAGCGGGGGACUCGCAAGAGCCUCGCGCGAUUGGAGCGGCCGAUAUCAGAUUAGGUAGUUGGUGGGGUAAAGGCUCACCAAGCCAACGAUCUGUAGCUGGUCUGAGAGGACGACCAGCCACACUGGAACUGAGACACGGUCCAGACUCCUACGGGAGGCAGCAGUGGGGAAUUUUGGACAAUGGACGCAAGUCUGAUCCAGCCAUUCCGCGUGCAGGAUGAAGGCCCUCGGGUUGUAAACUGCUUUUGUACGGAACGAAAAGGUUUCUAUUAAUACUAGGAGCUCAUGACGGUACCGUAAGAAUAAGCACCGGCUAACUACGUG
Molecule: ribosomal RNA, 471 nt
Filed under: uncultured bacterium
Lineage: Bacteria
Description: bacterial SSU rRNA
Rfam family: Bacterial small subunit ribosomal RNA
Source: RNAcentral